This 72-nucleotide transfer RNA is filed under the name bacterium. RNAcentral's name for it is "tRNA-Thr". It matches the Rfam family "tRNA". From Rfam's summary of the family: Transfer RNA (tRNA) molecules are approximately 80 nucleotides in length. Their secondary structure includes four short double-helical elements and three loops (D, anti-codon, and T loops). The record is from RNAcentral. RNAcentral also lists the same sequence under 1 other name.
GCUGGCGUAACUCAGGGGUAGAGUAGCUGAUUUGUAAUCAGCUUGUCGGGGGUUCGAAUCCCUCCGCCAGCU